RNAcentral lists this ribosomal RNA (1372 nucleotides) under uncultured bacterium. Its description in RNAcentral is "bacterial SSU rRNA". It matches the Rfam family "Bacterial small subunit ribosomal RNA", at positions 28 to 1381 of the family's 1533-position model. The record is from RNAcentral.
GAUGAACGCUGGCGGCGUGCCUAAUACAUGCAAGUCGAGCGAACGGACGAGAAGCUUGCUUCUCUGAUGUUAGCGGCGGACGGGUGAGUAACACGUGGAUAACCUACCUAUAAGACUGGGAUAACUUCGGGAAACCGGAGCUAAUACCGGAUAAUAUUUUGAACCGCAUGGUUCAAAAGUGAAAGACGGUCUUGCUGUCACUUAUAGAUGGAUCCGCGCUGCAUUAGCUAGUUGGUAAGGUAACGGCUUACCAAGGCAACGAUGCAUAGCCGACCUGAGAGGGUGAUCGGCCACACUGGAACUGAGACACGGUCCAGACUCCUACGGGAGGCAGCAGUAGGGAAUCUUCCGCAAUGGGCGAAAGCCCGACGGAGCAACGCCGCGUGAGUGAUGAAGGUCUUCGGAUCGUAAAACUCUGUUAUUAGGGAAGAACAUAUGUGUAAGUAACUGUGCACAUCUUGACGGUACCUAAUCAGAAAGCCACGGCUAACUACGUGCCAGCAGCCGCGGUAAUACGUAGGUGGCAAGCGUUAUCCGGAAUUAUUGGGCGUAAAGCGCGCGUAGGCGGUUUUUUAAGUCUGAUGUGAAAGCCCACGGCUCAACCGUGGAGGGUCAUUGGAAACUGGAAAACUUGAGUGCAGAAGAGGAAAGUGGAAUUCCAUGUGUAGCGGUGAAAUGCGCAGAGAUAUGGAGGAACACCAGUGGCGAAGGCGACUUUCUGGUCUGUAACUGACGCUGAUGUGCGAAAGCGUGGGGAUCAAACAGGAUUAGAUACCCUGGUAGUCCACGCCGUAAACGAUGAGUGCUAAGUGUUAGGGGGUUUCCGCCCCUUAGUGCUGCAGCUAACGCAUUAAGCACUCCGCCUGGGGAGUACGACCGCAAGGUUGAAACUCAAAGGAAUUGACGGGGACCCGCACAAGCGGUGGAGCAUGUGGUUUAAUUCGAAGCAACGCGAAGAACCUUACCAAAUCUUGACAUCCUUUGACAACUCUAGAGAUAGAGCCUUCCCCUUCGGGGGACAAAGUGACAGGUGGUGCAUGGUUGUCGUCAGCUCGUGUCGUGAGAUGUUGGGUUAAGUCCCGCAACGAGCGCAACCCUUAAGCUUAGUUGCCAUCAUUAAGUUGGGCACUCUAAGUUGACUGCCGGUGACAAACCGGAGGAAGGUGGGGAUGACGUCAAAUCAUCAUGCCCCUUAUGAUUUGGGCUACACACGUGCUCCAAUGGACAAUACAAAGGGCAGCGAAACCGCGAGGUCAAGCAAAUCCCAUAAAGUUGUUCUCAGUUCGGAUUGUAGUCUGCAACUCGACUACAUGAAGCUGGAAUCGCUAGUAAUCGUAGAUCAGCAUGCUACGGUGAAUACGUUCCCGGGUCU